CAGUCGUCGCGACGUCCUCGCACCGCAGUGACUUGCGCCGAUUCUUCGUUCAUACGUGAAUACCGCACAUAACGAGGGACCGACGUUCACCGUCAAAGUCUUUGCAGGAUAGAUAUCCCCUCGAGAGUCGUUACGAAUCCGAUAAUAAACGAAAACGUACGUAACGAAUAGAUUCCUCGAAAGAACAAAGGGGGGAGAAAAAAAGGAAAAGAAAAAGAAAAAGAGCAACCGACAACUAUUUUUGGAGAAUUUGAUCUUUCGAGAGUAGACGUUUGUGCGAAGAGGGGUGGCCGGGCGUCCCUCGAGAGACAUAUUCGGGCAGAAAAGGCAAGAUCUCCGUGUGGCAAUUACACGAGCAUCGCGAUUAAUCGCGAUACGUCGCAGAGUGCCACGAGGACGCUGGUCGAAUUACCACGAGCGUGAUUAGUCGACACACACGACGAAAGAGUGUUUUCACAUAGGGGCCGUUUCUCCCUUGGCAGAUGUUCCCCUCCACCGCUUCGAAUCGCUAAGGCAUCGCUAACGAUUCGCUAACCAUCUGGAUCCUCUUUCGAUCUCGGUUAUUUCGCUCUUUCCCUCUGUUUCACCCCUGUUCCUUUUCUUUUUUUUUUUCGCACCUGUGUGUGUGCCAGCUAGUGCUGACUUGGCACCGCUGACUGCGUGCGAGUGAAACCGAGCCCGAGAAGGAAAAGAGCCAAAGGGGGAAAAACAGAGAGCUCGAGCCUGCUCGUUGGACCCCUUUUUGAUUUUUCUCUUUUAUUUCUCGUCGCCCUCUCGAGUCACGAGUCUUUCUCUCUCUUUCUCCCUCUCUCUCUCCCUCCCUCUCUCUCUCUCUCUCUCUCUCUCUCUUUCUCUCUCUGUGUGUUCUGCGUCGCUGGAUGAGUCGCCUGCUUUGACAUUCAACUCGAUAUUUGUCGGCUAUCAUUGUUCGUCGUAGCCGGGGACACGGGGCAGGAGCCAGCGGGUAGCAGCGAAACGAACGUGGAGAAAAGUGACGUGACACGUAUGUAAGUGUGAAAAGGGGCGAGGAAAAGUGCAAGCUGGCAAGCCUACGACUCCUCUCUCUCCGGUCUUCUUCGAUAUCCAGUUCGUCCGAGGGGAAGAAUCGAGUUUGUCGACGAUAUCAAGGAUUCUCUUUAAGACGCCGGUUGCGGCUGUGCGAGCAUCUCCGAGCUGUGCAUGUCCGAGUUUGGUGAUUCACUGAAAUCGGCAAGUGCGGCUGCCACGUCCAAUAUCUGUAAUCCG
Molecule: long non-coding RNA, 1245 nt
Organism: Frieseomelitta varia
Lineage: Eukaryota; Metazoa; Arthropoda; Insecta; Hymenoptera; Apidae
Exons: 4
Source: RefSeq, a predicted model, not a curated record